AGACACGGUCCAGACUCCUACGGGAGGCAGCAGUGGGGAAUAUUGCACAAUGGGCGCAAGCCUGAUGCAGCCAUGCUCCGUGUAUGAAGAAGGCCUUCGGGUUGUAAAGUACUUUCAGCGGGGAGGAAGGUGUUGUGGUUAAUAACCGCAGCAAUUGACGUUACCCGCAGAAGAAGCACCGGCUAACUCCGUGCGCGCAGCCGCGGUAAUACGGAGGGUGCAAGCGUUAAUCGGAAUUACUGGGCGUAAAGCGCACGCAGGCGGUCUGUCAAGUCGGAUGUGAAAUCCCCGGGCUCGACCUGGGAACUGCAUUCGAAACUGAUAGGCUUGAGUCUUGUAGAGGGGGGUAGAAUUCCAGGUGUAGCGGUGAAAUGCGUAGAGAUCUGGAGGAAUACCGGUGGCGAAGGCGGCCCCCUGGACAAAGACUGACGCUCAGGUGCGAAAGCGUGGGGAGCAAACAGGAUUAGAUACGGUGGUAGUCCACGCCGUAAACGAUGUCUACUUGGAGGUUGUGCCCUUGAGGCGUGGCUUCCGGAGCUAACGCGUUAAGUAGACCGCCUGGGGAGUACGGCCGCAAGGUUAAAACUCAAAUGAAUUGACGGGGGCCCGCACAAGCGGUGGAGCAUGUGGUUUAAUUCGAUGCAACGCGAAGAACCUUACCUGGUCUUGACAUCCACAGAACUUUCCAGAGAUGGAUUGGUGCCUUCGGGAACUGUGAGACAGGUGCUGCAUGGCUGUCGUCAGCUCGUGUUGUGAAAUGUUGAAUUAAGUCCCGCAACGAGCGCAACCCUUAUCCUUUGUUGCCAGUGAUUAGGUCGGGAACUCAAAGGAGACUGCCAGUGAUAAACUGGAGGAAGGUGGGGAUGACGUUGAGUCAUCAUGGCCCUUACGACCAGGGCUACACACGUGCUACAAUGGCGCAUACAAAGAGAAGCGACCUCGGCAGAGCAAGCGGACCUCAUAAAGUGCGUCGUAGUCCGGAUUGAGGUCUGCAACUCGACUCCAUGAUGUCGGAA
This 1016-nucleotide ribosomal RNA is filed under the name Salmonella enterica subsp. enterica serovar Typhimurium. RNAcentral describes it as "bacterial SSU rRNA". It matches the Rfam family "Bacterial small subunit ribosomal RNA", at positions 322 to 1331 of the family's 1533-position model. Lineage: Bacteria; Pseudomonadati; Pseudomonadota; Gammaproteobacteria; Enterobacterales; Enterobacteriaceae. The record is from RNAcentral.